This 68-nucleotide transfer RNA is filed under the name Marmota monax (woodchuck). RNAcentral describes it as "tRNA.Val". The stretch from base 5 to 65 matches the Rfam family "tRNA", at positions 6 to 65 of the family's 71-position model. Rfam says of the family: Transfer RNA (tRNA) molecules are approximately 80 nucleotides in length. Their secondary structure includes four short double-helical elements and three loops (D, anti-codon, and T loops). Lineage: Eukaryota; Metazoa; Chordata; Mammalia; Rodentia; Sciuridae. The record is from RNAcentral.
GGUUUGUGGCUCAGUGGUAGAGUGCUCACCUCACAUGUGUGAGGCACUGGGUUUGAUUCUCAGCACCA